Molecule: ribosomal RNA, 497 nt
Filed under: uncultured bacterium
Lineage: Bacteria
Description: partial 16S ribosomal RNA
Rfam family: Bacterial small subunit ribosomal RNA
Source: RNAcentral
GAUGAACGCUGGCGGCGUGCCUAAUACAUGCAAGUCGAGCGAACGGACGAGAAGCUUGCUUCUCUGAUGUUAGCGGCGGACGGGUGAGUAACACGUGGAUAACCUCCCUAUAAGACUGGGAUAACUUCGGGAAACCGUAGCUAAUACCGGAUAAUAUUUUGAACCGCAUGGUUCAAAAGUGAAAGACGGUCUUGCUGUCACUUAUAGAUGGAUCCGCGCUGCAUUAGCUAGUUGGUAAGGUAACGGCUUACCAAGGCAACGAUGCAUAGCCGACCUGAGAGAGUGAUCGGCCACACUGGAACGGAAACACGGACCAGACUCCUACGGGAGGCAGCAGUAGGGAAUCGUCCGCAAUGGGCGAAAGCCUGACGGAGCAACGCCGCGUCAGUGAUGAAGGUCUUCGGAUCGUAAAACUCUGUUAUUAGGGAAGAACAUAUGUGUAAGUAACUGUGCACAUCUUGACGGUACCUAAUCAGAAAGCCACGGCUAACUACGUG